UAUCUUCUGCGGUGUUCGUCAUCCGGCUGGGUAUUUCCCUUGAGCCUGAUUUGCACCCCGGGGGCAUCACUGGUCGCUGUUGUUGUGCAUGUCUGCCACGGCAGAAAGCCUGAUACGGUUCCAGUGCUCCCACCUGAACCGAUAGGUUCAAGGUCGCACACCGGAAACGGCACAGGCGGUUGAUAC
RNAcentral lists this non-coding RNA (186 nucleotides) under Gammaproteobacteria bacterium. RNAcentral describes it as "6S RNA". It matches the Rfam family "6S / SsrS RNA". Rfam says of the family: E. coli 6S RNA was the first non coding RNA to be sequenced, but its function was unknown until recently. It consists of 184 nucleotides that fold into an extended hairpin structure with a large single-stranded internal bulge. The record is from RNAcentral. Lineage: Bacteria; Pseudomonadati; Pseudomonadota; Gammaproteobacteria.